Heterocephalus glaber (naked mole-rat) is the source of this 744-nucleotide long non-coding RNA. Lineage: Eukaryota; Metazoa; Chordata; Mammalia; Rodentia; Bathyergidae. The record is from Ensembl.
ACUCAGGUCCUUGCACUUGCGCAGCAGGCGGCGAAACCACUGAGCAAAAUCCCCAGCCCUGGAAUUCAUUUUAAAGGAUAAAAUUUAACAGGCCACUUGUAUUUUUUCUUCAAAUGAAUAAGAAUCCUCUAAGGAACUGAGGUCUAAUGGCCAAAGAAAUGAGCCACCAAGAAAAAAUGGUAUCCCCAAAUACAAGGAGAAACUUACCCAAAGAGAAUGGUUAAACUUCAUCUGUUGAGCAGAGGUCAAGUCAGAUAAUGCCUGUGAACUACUCGGUGGACUGAGAAACAAAAUGGUACUUUAUGACCUUUAAAACUGGUAUUUUUAGUUGGGAUAAAAUAUUGCAAUUGGUUGAAGAAUAAAGAGGAAGCACAAAUAAGAAACUGGGGAAAGAAAACUUUUUCAUCAGCCAUUGUCUGGAAAGUGAAGCAAGAAACAGAAUGGGGAACAACAAAUUGCUACAGGGAGGUUUUAUUUCUUUUCUUCUAAUAUAUAAGACUUGAGAAUGCCCAAAUGACAAUGUGAAAAAGCCACAGAUGAAGCAAAAGUCCUAAAAACCAGGAAUGGGAUAUCCAGAGCCUGGGACAAGAUGAUGAUCACGUUUUUCAAAGGAAUGGGUAUCAAUGAAGAAAUCUUUCGAGAAAAGUGUUUCUAAAAAAGCCUCCAACUCUCCAAGAUGCAUCAUAUAAAGGUACAAGUUCCCAAUGAGAAAUGUAAAUGUAUUGUAUACCUAAAAUGUACCAA